AGUGAACGCUGGCGGUAGGCCUAACACAUGCAAGUCGAACGGCAGCACAGUAAGAGCUUGCUCUUACGGGUGGCGAGUGGCGGACGGGUGAGGAAUACAUCGGAAUCCACUUUUUCGGGGGGGAUAACGUAGGGAAACUUACGCUAAUACCGCAUACGACCUACGGGUGAAAGCAGGGGAUCUUCGAACCUUGCGCGAUUGAAUGAGCCAAUGUCGGAUUAGCUAGUUGGCGGGUUAAAGGCCCACAAAGGCGACGAUCCGUAACUGGUAUGAGAGGAUGAUCAGCCACACUGGCAGUGAGAAUCAGCACCGACUCCGGCACGGGGCCACAGUGGGGAAUCUUGGAGGAUGGACGAAAGCCUAAUCCAGCCAUACCGCGUGGGGGAUGAAGCCGUUAGGCUUCUAAAGCCAUUUUGUUGUGAAAGAAGAGAAGCAGGUUAAUCCCCCGCUGUACUGACGGUACCCAAAGAAUAAGCACCGGCUAACUUCGUG
RNAcentral lists this ribosomal RNA (492 nucleotides) under uncultured bacterium. RNAcentral describes it as "partial 16S ribosomal RNA". It matches the Rfam family "Bacterial small subunit ribosomal RNA", at positions 29 to 507 of the family's 1533-position model. The record is from RNAcentral.